UUGCAUUGAUGAAUUUUUCUUUCCUGAAGAACAACAUGCAGAUUAAAGAGCUUUUAACUAUUCUUGAUGCAAU
Molecule: small nucleolar RNA, 73 nt
Organism: Mastomys coucha (southern multimammate mouse)
Lineage: Eukaryota; Metazoa; Chordata; Mammalia; Rodentia; Muridae
Source: RefSeq, a predicted model, not a curated record